AUAAAUAAAAGAAAUAAAUUAUUUUUACAACAAUGUACGGAACAAAUGAUACAUAAAAUAAAUAAGAUUAAGCAAAAAUAUAAAAUGAUGUGAGACUCACAUGUUAUAACUUCCUUCUCGACCUUUAAUCUUCUGUAUUCCAUAAAUCAGUCAUGGAAUCAUUCGUAGUGAUAGUAAAUAUAUAAUUAUCCACAUAGCAACUCAGGGGUAUCACUCAUGAACUGGUCACCCAUUUUGUUAUGCAAAACACUCUUGACAAUAUUCAUUUCUGAAAAGCAUCUCCUCAUCGAUUUUGGCAACUGUCAAAAUUAGCACCAUUUUUAGAAGUUGAUAUACCAAAGGAAAAGCAAGAUGUUUCUUAGUGUUAGUUAAUACUUUGACAAGAUCUGCAAUGUGAUCCAAAUUGGCAAAUCCUUGGUCUGUUUGGAGAUUGCCAAUUUACAUUCGAAGUUCAUGAUCAAGAUCCAUCAAUUACGUUGGAUAAAAGUCAUCAGGAUAAAACUCAGCUAGUUUGCAUAAAUACUCAAAGUUAAAAGAAACAAAAGAUAUUUGAAGUCUGCAUUGUCUGCAAGGUCCUGUAAUUAAUUAUCUCGGUUUGAUCUCUAAUUAAAUAUCAGUGUCUCCUGUCCGCUUCAAUAGAAAUCUAUCUAUAAUCUUCUAGUCCUAAUUGAAUCAAGGAGAUAAAUUAAAAUUUUCAAUCUUAGUAUUGCACACAUGUAUCAGCGCCUCGGGUACCUGGGAUGAACCGAAGUGGAGAAUCAAUAAUCGCAGGACUACAGAUUAGGGUGACGCGGCCGGCGGGUGGACAUCCCCGAACCAAAAUUAGCGCCGUACACCAUUGUGGAGGAUUUGGGGAUCGAUGUAAUUGAGGAGGAAGCGAAUAGCUCGAGAGAGGCGUGCGUCCUGACCUACUGCGACCUGGCGGCCGGCUGCGUCCAGGAAUUAGUAGGGUUUUUUGGCACCAGAUAGAUUGGGUCUUGUGGACUGUGUGUUAGGUUAGCAAACAGAUCAAUACUUCUUCUUUAUUUUGUAAUUAUCUAACUGGGCUAAGACUUUGGGCUUUUGUUCUGUGGUGGGCUGGGGUCAAUCGAUCUUUUGUGCUGGGGUCAAAGGCACAAAUCGGUAAAGCUAUUAGCUGAAGCAUCGAAUGGCAUUGAUGUCAACUGACACCAGUGCCUACACGUGAGCUCCGUCCCUGGCUGCAGGUAGCAAGCCACGGCAGCCGAGCAACAGUAGUGGCACAGCAGCAGGCACGUGGGCGCGGCCAAGGCCCGGCCGGCGCGCGGGCUGGGCGCGGAUGUUCAGGGGCGCGACGGACGGGGGUGAGCGCGAGCUCGGGCAACGGUUGCUACGGCGAUAGAUCAACGGGAAAAGAGGGGAAUCGGCCCUGGGCUCACGGAGGGGGUCGGUGGCGAGGUCGAGAAGGCCGGGGAAGGUCGGGACGCAACGAAUCCGCCACCGAACAGGGCCGGCCGGGCUUGAGGACGACGUCCGUUGGCGACGAGCGGGGGCCUUCAGCUCGAACUUGCCCUCGCAGGUGAAGUGGACGACGGAGGCGCGUCUCCUGGAGACCUUGGAACGACGAACGCUGGCCGGUGGACACCGUGACGACGACGAAGACGAUGAGCGCGGUGACAGUAGCUCGGGCGCGAGGAAAACCGAGAGGGAGAGGGGCGAGAGCGGGGAGGGGAGGCGAUCUAGGGUUCGGGGCGCCGCGGGGUAGGUCUUGUAGGCGUCGGGGAGCUGCCGGAUGGCUGCCCCGUGGCCAUCGGCGCCGUGGACGGACGCUCUGCGUCCACGGUGGCUGCAUGAACAGGGAGGAAGGGGAUGAACAGGUGUUGGGCUGGCCUUGCCAAUUGGCCCUAGUGGCUGAGAGGAACAGGGGGGCCUUCUCUUUUCUAUUUGGUUUUUUUCUUUUUAAAACUUAUCGGUUUUCUUUUUUUUAGUUUCAUUUUAUUUUUAGUUUUAUAAAAUAUAACACUAGCCCCUAAAUUAGUAUUUAGUAAAUAGGCCACUACCAUAAUUAAUUUGGUACAUUAAUUAAAUAGUUGGCAUUUGUUUAUUUUAUUAAAAGCAUUUAAUAAAUGUUUUCAGCUAUUGUUUUAUUUAUUUUAAAGUAUUCAAACAUUUUAUAAAGGUGUAGUUUUUCUACCAUAAUUACCUAUGCAUUAUUUGGCAUUACACGAACAUUUUAGUUUUAAUAUUUGAAAACUUUCACCGUUUGACUCUAAUUCAAAUUUAAUUUUAAUCUGUCUUAAACUAACGCACGUUUAUCGACAGUAACCGAGGCGUCGUGGCAUCAUUAGCAAAGGUUCACUGUAGCUUAAUUAUCCGGGCGUCACAAUUCUCCUCCACUACAAGAAAUCUUGUCCCGAGAUUUUAAGAGGUGGACUAAGGGGGAAAGGUCUGGUUACGAAAUUCUAACGAAUCUUCUCGGUCUUGGUUGCUCUUCUCCAAGAGGUCGAUCCACUACAUUGAUGUCUUCAUUUCUCUGCUCUAGGUCAUCAUGACGAAGGUGUCUUCCUUUCUUCGAGAACUACAUCGUACUUACGAAAGAAUAAAGGGGGGGGGGGUAUUCCGGGGGAACGGACCUCUGCACGGUUGACUAACUGGUAGAUAACAUCAGGGAAGGUGGCGGAAAAUAACUCUCGAAUUGAACUUAAGAAGAUAUCGAGAGCAAAGUAAGAAGGUACCAUAAGAAGUUUCAAGCGGAUAGACAAUCACUGUUGCCUGAAACAACGCAUGAAAGGGGUUCACAGCAACGAGAAUUAGUUUUGUGUCCGAUACUAGAAUUGACGAUCUCUCGGAAGGUGGCUUGAUAAUUACAUACGAGGCCACGUGCGAGGAAUAAUUUUGGAAACAGGGGGUGUACAGGAGAGUCAGGUUUCGAUCCUGUGGAACUGUGAGUUAUGGGCCCACCAUGUGGGUUAAAAGUAGGAAGUGUGGUGAAAUCUUGCACGGUUUUGAUAGCAAGGCAUGUCAGAGGGUGGCCUAUUAGUUAUGUCGGCAACAAAGUCGGUACCAAGGGCGAGGGAUGAAGAGAACCAUUUUCCUGCUCGUUGAAACGAGGCGGACCAAUAGGCAAAGUUCUCAUCCAUCGGUGGUUACCGGAAUGCCAUCAACAGAAGCAACAAGGUCUUACCGACACGGUUGUACACCAAGGUGUUUACAUAAGCAGGAGAAUAUUACUGCUUAGAUCAUAUAGAUCACCAGUAAUGUUAAACAAAACAAUGGAAAGGAGAAGGUGAUCAUCAGUUUAAACAUAACAAUGGAAAGGACAAUGUGUCUAAACACAUAUUUGAGGGGUAUAUCCUUCCCAAGGGAAGCAGAGCAUGAUAUCCAUGACAUGAUAUAAUGUAGAAAACCCUUUAGGUAAGGCGAGAAAAAAUUCAUGACAUUAACCAUACAACAGUGUUUGGAUAAUAGAGGAAGAAACAUUUAGCAUUGGGCUUCAAAUGUUCUUGCUGAAAAUCAGAGUACCGCAGACAUGCUUCGAGAUAGCAUUGCAUGGUCUUCAAGCAAAGGUUGGACUUGGAUACACAAAGGAUUCAUCAGGAACAACUUAUAGAAUAAGUCUUACAAUUUCCUCAUGAAAGAAUGGUUAACCUUGCCAAAAAGGAAACUAUAACAGCAGGUCCUCCGGCCAGGUGUGCUAGGCAUGACAUCACCUUACCAGGUCAUAUAAAGACCAAUAUUAUAACUCUUGGAAAUAUGUUCCAACCAUCAAAUCUGACCGAGAUUCAGAUUUGAUUGGUGUCAAAUGACCUCAGACUCAGGAUGCCUGAGAAGAAAAGGUGCAACACAAAUUGACGCGAUGACAUUGUAAGAUCCUCGGGAAUGAACUAUGGAAGCGAGUUUCGAAACAAGAGUUCAUCAUUAAAUCAAGGAAAGGGUGAGGAGGUGACUGAUGGACUCGGCGCCAAUCCAUUGAGAAUUCCAAGAAGAUGAAUUUCCACAAUCAUGUGAACAAGGAGAUAACAUUUGUUAAAUCAAAUGGUGUAAUGAUGUAUGCUCGAGGAAAACAUACACAAUUAAACAUUGGUUGAAAGGUGCACCCGAAAUAUGGGCUUAGGUAGCAUGGCCAAUGUUAGAAUGGUGAUUCGAUAACCAAUGGUCUAAGAAUGAAAUAUCGACCAAUAACUUCAAAGCAAUAGGGUUGCUAGAAGGGCAGAAUCCAAACAGCACCGUUCACCUGUUGGUAUCCCGGUUAGAACCAACACGGGGACCAAGAAAGAAUGGUGAUGGUGAGAAGUAUUACUAUAUCAAGAAUUAAUAGUUGAGGUAAUGCCCUCAACAUUCUUGACAUAACAGAUGGUAAUACUCCAAGAUAGAAUCAUAAUAUAAGUUGGGUAGAAAAGAAACUACACAAAACAUGAACAAGUUUUGUGUCGGAGGGGAUGCGAGAAUGUUGUCGAUGUUAAUACAAAUCAUCGAGGGCGCAAGGAUGGUAUUACUCAUCCUGAAUUCAACACACAACUUGGAAGAAGUCCAAUGGUUGACAAUGAUCACGACAAAUUCGUCGAGGGUUUCAAGAAGAUGUAAUCAAUCGGCGACGACAUCAAGUCAAAGAAAUGAUGAAGCAAAAGAUUAUUGGAACCAAGGGUACGACCCAAACUCAAAAUCGAUCUUGUUGUUCAAGGCUAAAUGAUACAACGAGGAAGAUCGACGUAAGAUUAGCUCAUCGUCGUAAAUUGUGCUCUGGGAAGAAGGACCGGGUAGCACAGUUAAAAUUUAGCACAAUAAUGAUAUAGUCGAUCAGGUUAGGAAUGACUUGAAGGAUUAAUAAACUCAUAAGCAACAAAAAUUACUUAAGAGUUAUUGAUUCGGAGUGCGGAACCGAUUCACUUAUCGAUGUUUUGGGUUGACAAACAACCCAGCACCCAUGAAGUGACAGCGACAGGGAAAGGUGGUACUUCAUCAAAAAUUCAUAAGAUGUAGAGCAAUGGCAUGAUAUCCACAAGAUACCAGGGGUAAUACUCAAAGGUAGAUCAUAAUAGAGGUCGGGCAGACUGUAGAAGACAAAUGUUUUAACUUGUCCGAGAAAUGGGAUCAAAGAAGAACAAUCAUGGUCGGAACCACGGUUGAAAAGGGUCAAUUCACAAAUACCAGAUGAUAGUUAUCAAGGAAAUAGUUAUUAUUACAAGAAGCUUCCAUGAUAGGAUCUACAUCAUGUCCAUGGGCAUGAACACAAAGUUCAAGGUCGACUCCCACUUCUUUAAUGCAUAACCUUUCAUUCACUUCUCGCCUUCAACAAAGUUGUGGUGUUAAAAUUUUAUCUGACAUAACACCAGUAGAGUAUGACCCGUAGUAGUUUCCGGGUUCACACAGAUUAGAAGAGGCAUAUGUCCAACCCAUCGGGGCCUCUUAGGAACUUAUACCACAAACUUCAGGAGUAAAUAACACAAGCUCGAAAGCAGAGCAUGGUUGACAAAGCAGAGGAUACAAUUUACCAAAGGCAUUAUGUAUCAGGGGAGGAACUCUCAAGGUUAUUGGAUAUGAAGGACACUGUCGGAUAAUAACCAAGCAAUUGGUCUCGCGGACCACCAGGAAUCUGAUGUGAGUAUCGGUACUCAAUCAGAAGGAAAAAGAAUGCAAAAGGCAUCGGUCUAUAGAACAUAUGAAUAAUUCAACGUUUAAAUGACAAAGGAAUUAUGAUUUUCAAAUCAAGUGAUCAAAAGCAAAUGCUCUGAUUAAGGAUGGAUAACUUGAGUAAGCUUAGGGGUACAAACGACGACAAUUUGAUUGGUUGAGAACCAGCUCUUGUUCAAAAUGACACCUAAGCCGGAAGGAUGAAUUCUAGGAUUCGGCUGAGGAAUGCGAGUAUCCUCAACAUAUUGAAUCAACGAACUUAAAAUGAGAAAGACAAGGAAUGCCAAUAAGAUUACGAGACUUGUGGGAUUAAUCGUAAAGCAAGCAAGAAUUUCAAGAGCAAUAGGGUGCUAAGGAUUUUCGGAAGUUCAAAUAUUAUUUCGAAGACCUUAGUGAAACACAUAAACAACUGGAGAUGAGUGGAUACUCGAUAAGUGGAAUGAAUUACCGGCAUGGGUAUUCAGGUGGCAAAGAACUGCAAGGCAGUAGGCACAAAGUAUUCUCGGGACAACAGAGAGUAUUUCGGGGCAUCUUGUAAUAAAAAAAUCAACGAGGAAUGAUUGUAUGAAUGGCAAGUGUAUGCAGUUUUCAUAGAGGUUGACGGUGGAAGGAAAUCGCAAAUGCGAUGACACAAAGACUCGAGAGAGCAUCGUAGAGUAACUUCGGAAUCUUCUAGUGCAGCAGGCGAUCAUCUGAAGUGAGGGGCUCUCCGGGAGAAAGUAUUUUCGAGAACCUAAAGUUAGUUUUGUUUUUAGCAAAAUCAUUUAACCCGAAUAGAAGAGACCUCAGAGUCCCAGAGUAUAGACGAGGAGUAAAAGAUCCUAAUACCACCUGAUGGCGACGUGGGCCCAUGGGCUGCACAGCCAUGUUAGUAAAAACUUUUUCAAUGACUAGACUCAACUUCGGCCAAGGAGUUGGAAAGGGGGAUUCCUACAGGCAGUUUGCUCUGAUACCAACUUGUGACGCCCCCGACUCAAUUGUACACUAAUCAUGCACGCAAACGUGUACAAUCAAGAUCAGGGACUCACGGGAAGGUAUCACAACACAACUCUAAAACAUAAAUGAGUCAUACAAGCAUCAUAAUACAAGCCAGGGGCCUCAAGGGCUCGAAUACAAGUGCUCGAUCAUAGACGAGUCAGCGGAAGCAACAAUAUCUGAGUACAGACAUAAGUUAAACAAGUUUGCCUUAAGAAGGCUAGCACAAACUGGAAUACAGAUCGAAAGAGGUGCAAGCCUCCUGCCUGGGAUCCUCCUAAACUACUCCUGGUCGACGGCGGGCUGAACGUAGUAGUAGGCACCUCCAGAGUAGUAGGAAUCGUCGUCGACGGUGGCGUCUAGCUCCAGGGCUCCAGCAUCUGGUUGCGACAACCAGGUAGAAGGGAAAGGGGGAAAAGAGGAGCAAAGCAACCGUGAGUACUCAUCCAAAGUACUUGCAAGCAAGGAGCUACACUACAUAUGCAUGGGUGUGUGUGUAAAGGUCCAUAGACUGAACUGCAGAAUGCCAGAAUAAGAGGGGGAUAGCUAAUCCUGUCGAAGACUACGCUUCUGGCAGCCUCCGUCUUGCAGCAUGUAGAAGAGAAUACACUGAAGUCCUCCAAGUAGCAUCGCAUAGCAUAAUCCUACCUGGCGAUCCUCCCCGCGUCGCCCUGUGGAAAAGCGAUCACCGGUUUGUCUGUGGAACUUGUCUGGGUGUGUUUUAUUAAGUAUCCGGUUCUAGUUGUCAUAAGGUCAAGGUACAACUCCGGGUCGUCCUUUUACCGAGGGACACGGCUAUUCGAAUAGAUAAACUUCCCUGCAGGGGUGCACCACAUAACCCAACACGCUCGAUCCCAUUUGGCCGGACACACUUUCCUGGGUCAUGCCCGGCCUCGAAAGAUCAACACGUCGCAGCCCCACCUAGGCACAAUAGAGAGGUCAGCACGCCGGUCUAAAUCCUAUGCGCGCAGGGGUUUGGGCCCAUCGCCCAUUGCACACCUGCACAUUGCGUGGGCGGCCGAAAGCAGAACUAGCCCCCUUAAUACAAGAGCAGGCUUACGUUCUAAUCCGGCGCGCGCCGCUCAGUCACUGACAUCACGAAGGCUUUGGCUGAUACCACGACGUCGAGUGCCCAUAUCUUUCCCGCGUAGUUGGUUAGUGCGUAUAGGCCAGUGGCCAGACUCAGAUCAAAUACCAAGAUCUCGUUAAGCGUGUUAUUAUGAAGCAACCGCGGACGCCGACCAGGGGCCAGGCCCACCUCUCGCCUAGGUGGUCUCAACCUGCCCUGUCGGUCCGCCACAAAGUAACAGUCAGGGGCCGUCGGGAACCCAUGCCCACCUCUAUCGGGAUGGAGCCACCUGUCCUUCCAGCCCCCAUAUCGGAAUCACUUGCGGGUACUCCACGAGCAGACGCGACUUUAGUCACCAUCUCUAUAGUAUGUAUGUAUGUAUGUAUAAUAUAUACCCGUGAUCACCUCCCAAGUGAUCACGGCCCGAUAGUAUAGCAAGGCAGACUGACAAGAAUGUAGGGCCAAUGAUGAUAAACUAGCAUCCUAUACUAAGCAUUUAGGAUUGCGGGUAAGGUAUCAACAGAUGUAGCAACAAUGACAGGCUAUGCAACAGAAUAGGAUUAAUCGAAACAAUAACAUGCUACACUACUCUAAUGCAAGCAGUAGAGGGUAGAAUAGGCGAUAUCUGGUGAUCAAGGGGGGAGGCUUGCCUGGUUGCUCUGGCAAGAAGGACGAGUCGCCAACACCGUAGUCGAACUGGGGGU
This 8337-nucleotide long non-coding RNA is filed under the name Triticum aestivum (bread wheat). RNAcentral's name for it is "long non-coding RNA (TAES_LNC011495)". Lineage: Eukaryota; Viridiplantae; Streptophyta; Magnoliopsida; Poales; Poaceae. The record is from RNAcentral.